GGGGUUGUGGCUCAGCGGCAGAGCAUUCACCUUGCACGUGCGGGGCCCUGGGUUUGAUCCUCAGCACCACA
RNAcentral lists this transfer RNA (71 nucleotides) under Marmota monax (woodchuck). Its description in RNAcentral is "tRNA.Ala". Lineage: Eukaryota; Metazoa; Chordata; Mammalia; Rodentia; Sciuridae. The record is from RNAcentral.